Molecule: non-coding RNA, 45 nt
Filed under: Schistosoma margrebowiei
Lineage: Eukaryota; Metazoa; Platyhelminthes; Trematoda; Strigeidida; Schistosomatidae
Source: RNAcentral
AUCCAGCUGAAGAGUCCUAAAUAGGAUCAAACCUGCGUCCUAGAU